This 307-nucleotide unclassified non-coding RNA is filed under the name plant metagenome. RNAcentral describes it as "partial contains 5.8S ribosomal RNA, internal transcribed spacer 2, and large subunit ribosomal RNA". The stretch from base 1 to 105 matches the Rfam family "5.8S ribosomal RNA", at positions 50 to 154 of the family's 154-position model. The record is from RNAcentral.
GAAAUGCGAUAAGUAAUGUGAAUUGCAGAAUUCAGUGAAUCAUCGAAUCUUUGAACGCACAUUGCGCCCGCCAGCACUCUGGCGGGCAUGCCUGUUCGAGCGUCAUUUCAACCCUCAGAACCCCUUGCGGGAUCUGGCGUUGGGGAUUGGCAUCCAGCCAGCCCCGAAAUCUAGUGGCGGUCCCUCCGCGACCUCCCCUGUGCAGUAGCGAUACCUCGCAGCGGGACAGCGGUCUGACCACGCCGUAAAACCCCCAACUUCACAAGGUUGACCUCGAAUCAGGUAGGAAUACCCGCUAGACUUAGGC